GACGAACGCUGGCGGCGUGCUUAACACAUGCAAGUCGAACGGAAAGGCCCUGCUUUUGUGGGGUGCUCGAGUGGCGAACGGGUGAGUAACACGUGAGUAACCUGCCCUUGACUUUGGGAUAACUUCAGGAAACUGGGGCUAAUACCGGAUAGGAGCUCCUGCUGCAUGGUGGGGGUUGGAAAGUUUCGGCGGUUGGGGAUGGACUCGCGGCUUAUCAGCUUGUUGGUGGGGUAGUGGCUUACCAAGGCUUUGACGGGUAGCCGGCCUGAGAGGGUGACCGGCCACAUUGGGACUGAGAUACGGCCCAGAGUCCUAAGGGAGGCAGCAGUGGGGAAUAAUGCAGGAUGGGCGGAAGCCGGGUGCAGCAAGGCCGCGUGCGGGAUGACGGCCUUCGGGUUGUAAACCGCUUUGGCCGGUGACGAAGCGUGAGUGAAGGUAAUGGAUAAAGAAGCACCGGCUAACUACGUG
This 468-nucleotide ribosomal RNA is filed under the name uncultured bacterium. RNAcentral describes it as "partial 16S ribosomal RNA". It matches the Rfam family "Bacterial small subunit ribosomal RNA", at positions 28 to 507 of the family's 1533-position model. The record is from RNAcentral.